This 2265-nucleotide long non-coding RNA is filed under the name Sorghum bicolor (sorghum). Its description in RNAcentral is "long non-coding RNA (SBIC_LNC003704)". Lineage: Eukaryota; Viridiplantae; Streptophyta; Magnoliopsida; Poales; Poaceae. The record is from RNAcentral.
GGCACUAGAAUAAAUUAUGGUUUAACUGCUUUUUAAAAGCAAUGUUCGAGGAAAAAGAAACUCCUUUGCAUAAGCUUCUCAUAGGCACUGCAUUUGCAUUUUUCUUAAAUCAUAAAUUGCUUCCACCAAGAGCUCUACAAGUAAAAACAUGGAAAAACAUUAGCAUCUAAAGACAUACCUAAAAUAAACACGAAUGUCUAUGGUUCUAAAAAAACAAACAUGAAUGUGUAUGGUUCUAAAAAAAUAAGUUUUAAUACCAAGCUGUUCUGUACAAUACAUAUGGUAUGGUUCUAAUACAAACAUGAAAUUUCAGAUACAAAGCAGUUGUGUACAAGUGUUAAAAGUUUGAAGGAAAUUAAAUUAAACUAGCAAAAAAUACUAAAUGACACAGCAACAAAGAAAAGAAAGGUUCAGAGAAGUGGAAAUUGAAAGAAAAUGUAUGGGCCACCAUUUUGUUCCUAUUCAAUUUGUUCUUCGGAAUUUCAGAUUCCUCUUUUCAUAUUUAAUUCAUGAAAAUCCUCUUUUUGGAUUUAAUUCAUGAAUUUAGGAUAAAAAAAGGCAUGGUCAGUUACAUGCAAACCUAGAAAAUAUGUUGGUCAUGUUAAACAGCAAAACUAACUCCACAAGGCAAUGAUCAAGACAGUGUAAUAAACAAAUGCUCCUAAAAUAGAAGUGCCAAGGAAACUAUAGAGUUAGCAGCAACAACAAAAUGGCUAAAUCGAUGACCGGCUCCUAAAUCAUGAAGGCACAAUAUCUCCAAGUACUGGUCUCUAUCCUAUGCUUGCAGCAGCAACCACAAAUUCAAGUCAAUCACAUAAAGAAUCCACUGCAAGUAAAUCAGAACAAAUGUGGCCAACUGCAAGUAAAUCAGAACAAAUGUGGCCAAGCAUCGCUGAUUACAGUGUCUCACCUUUGGCAAUUUUAUCUUCUAUUGUCUUCUUCAGAGAUAUGGCCUGCCUCCAGUCAGGUUGAACCCACAAGAAAGAAAUCAUGUAAGUUAGAUAUUGGAAUAUCAAGGCAACAACAUCCAUGAUAAUUUCACAAAAAAACAGCAUGGCAAGUGGAACCACUAAUAUAACUCAUAAUACUGCAAAUAUGGACAAAAAACAGUGGGCCAUACAAGCUUACAAGCUCAAAUGGUGAGCAACCACAUGUUUCAAGAAUAUGAUUGAAACAACAAAGGUGAGAGAAGACAUGCAUAAUACACUGAAUUGAAGCAGCAAGCCAUCCCAUGCUGCCUAAAAAAAUGCAAAUCAAUGUACAAAGAUCCAGCAAGCAACAACUCAUCAUUACUAGUCAGAGGAUCAGAGGAUGGCAAUGACAACGCAGAGGGCGGAUACUUAAAUGUGGUGCGCAUUCUACAUUUAGUUGCAUGUUUACCUGCAUUACAAACAAAUGGAAGAAUACCAUGUUCCUGCAGGAAAAAAAAGUGUGCCAUAAGACUUCAAUUGAUACUUCUCUUUACAUACAGUUAACUUGGUUCAUAUACAAAGAUCUUUAAAAAGGCGAAACAGUACAGAUGAUAGAUGUUUCUUUUCUUUAUGUAGAGUUUAGCUUAGUCACAACAACAUUUCAUUAGAUUUUUAUAGGUUCAUACACCAACCUGUAAAAUUGGAAUUAUAAUCUGCUGGUGGUAGAAACAAGAAAUCCAGGAACAAGAAAAUCGAGCAGAACCGGUAAACCUGAUAACCAAGAAUCUACCGAACCCUAGAUCAACUAUAUCGGGACACCUGUGAAUCACCAAUUUAGUGAACCCUAGGUCUGACAGAUCGGGGCAAGCAAACGGGAUCAACCAUGAAACAAGCACGUCACAGAUGAUAACAAUAUAGGCAGAUGCUAACUUGAAUUCGACACUAUACAAUAGAACCAUAGAGAAGGGGGCCGAAUUGAGCAGGUGCAUACCAGAUUGAGACUGGCUUCCUUAGUUUGGAGAGAAGACAAAUCCGAGAAGAACUGGAGUGUAUCUUGGAGCCGGGACCUUUCAGCAGCUGCGGUGGUCAUGUCUCUCUAGCGAACGGACCCUGCCGAUGUAGAGGCGAGGACGACGACGGUUCGGAAGGGGAUGGAGAUGGGGAUGGCAAGAGGAGAGUCGGGGCGAGGGCGGAGGGGCCGCGACGGAGGAAAGUCGAGGCGACGGAGGAGCGGCGGCGACGAAGGAGAAGCGAGUUGUGAGGCGAGAGGAGAGGCGAGUCGAGUCGGCGGGGAACGUCGGGAACGCCGCCCGGUGUGACGAGGCCGGACAGGUUUCCCCGUCAAAACCCGGCU